UGGGGAAUAUUGGACAAUGGGGGCAACCCUGAUCCAGCCAUGCCGCGUGUGUGAAGAAGGCCUUUUGGUUGUAAAGCACUUUAAGCAGUGAAGAAGACUCCAUGGUUAAUACCCAUGGACGAUGACAUUAGCUGCAGAAUAAGCACCGGCUAACUCUGUGCCAGCAGCCGCGGAAAUACAGAGGGUGCAAGCGUUAAUCGGAAUUACUGGGCGUAAAGCGAGCGUAGGUGGCUUGAUAAGUCAGAUGUUAAAGCCCCGGGCUUAACCUGGGAACGGCAUCUGAUACUGUUAGGCUAGAGUAGGUGAGAGGAAGGUAGAAUUCCAGGUGUAGCGGUGAAAUGCGUAGAGAUCUGGAGGAAUACCGAUGGCGAAGGCAGCCUUCUGGCAUCAUACUGACACUGAGGUUCGAAAGCGUGGGUAGCAAACA
Molecule: ribosomal RNA, 427 nt
Filed under: uncultured bacterium
Lineage: Bacteria
Description: partial 16S ribosomal RNA
Rfam family: Bacterial small subunit ribosomal RNA
Source: RNAcentral